This 3887-nucleotide long non-coding RNA is filed under the name Manihot esculenta (cassava). RNAcentral's name for it is "long non-coding RNA (MESC_LNC001680)". Lineage: Eukaryota; Viridiplantae; Streptophyta; Magnoliopsida; Malpighiales; Euphorbiaceae. The record is from RNAcentral.
GGAGAGAGAUGCCUAUGAAUGGUAACAUACGGAGAUUGACAGUAAGACAAGCCCAUCUAUCAGAUUAUAUUCCUUGGAUUCACCAUGACAAACAAGUGAAGAGCCAAUGGAAUAAGAAACAAUUUGCAUAUUAUUUGACCACCAGAGGUAUCAAAUACCUAAUAUUUGAUUAAUACCUCAUUAUGAUCAUGCAGAAGAAUAGGUGUGUUUGCCAUGGGGGAGAAACCAAUUGCUGGUAGCCCUUGUAACCGGAAGUAACGAGAAUCCGUGGCAGCAGGAAAGACCUCUGGUUUACCAAGUUUUCCAUUAGCUUUUCUGACAGCCUCUUCAAGCAGAAUCCACCAUGGGUUAGAAUCGUCAGUCUUUGUAAGGAGUGGCUUCCCAAAGUUGUCGUAAACAGUGUUUUUCUGCUUAAACUGCCCAAGCUACAAAAAUAAUUAGAACAAUUUGCAUUAAACGCUUAAAAAGUUGUUCCUAGACACAUGCACUACAUAUAUCUGAUACCAUAUUCAAAUGCGAGCCUUUUCCAUUACUAUAAUCAUAUGUCCUUAUACACUGUACCUUCAGAUAACAGUACUUACUGAUAAGCACUAACUUUAAAACAAAAAGUCAAGUUUACUAUCUUCCACAACUCUUCAAGUAUAUGCAUCAACAUAUUCUCAAAAGAAUCAGAUGGCUUUGUGCUCUUGUGUGGGCUCUUACUACUAGCCACACUGAACUGAAAAAAGGCCACUGGUCAAUGCUAGUCUCAUGAAAAAUAAUCCUAAAUAUGGAUAUAACAUUCCCCUUCAGUUUCAUAAGGAAAAAACGAACAUUUGCCCCUUCCAUUUUCUAUAAUAUUGGAAAUGGACAAUCUCAACUCCUAUAGCACGUGUAGGUAAAAUAGAAUCUCUUUAAAGGACACUACUAAAUAUAAACCAAAAAAAAAAAACAUUCUGCUAAAUGAUUUAUGCAACAUCAAUGCAUUUCUAUGCAGAAACUAUCAUUGGUAGCCAGACAUGAACAAAGAAACUCUGUUUCACCUCUCUUCUUCUUUUUUUUUUUUUCCACAUGCAAGACAACUAGGGAUAUUAAAUGUUUUUUCAAUGAGUUUAUUAGCACCUGGUAUGUCAUAUUGCGUGAAACAGGUGCCCAUUCUUCAGCAAUUCGCCUUUCUAGAGCUUCAGGAUCAGCAGUUGGUGGAAUUCGAAUAUCAAAACCUGCUUCUGCUUCAGAUGGCUGCAAAUUCAUGACAAAUCCCUGGAAGCCAACCAAAAGCAAUAAAUCACUAGGAUAAUGAUGGCUUGUGUAAGAAAGCAAAUAAAUUACAAAAUAUUGCAGAUCCAAAAAGUUGUUGCCAAGAAAAUAAUUUAAGGAUUUCAAUUCAGUAGUCCAACUGUUCAAUCAUUGUCAAUAAUUUUAAUCCCAAGUUUGAAAAUUUGUGAGGCCUUUAGGUUCUUGUUGAGCAUAGCUUGUUUCUAAUAUCCUAAGAUCACAUACAAUGUUUUCUUCAUCAAAUGUUUAAGGGUAUUUACCAGAAAUUUUCCAGAUGAUAAUUGUAGCAAAACGCAUGGAAGAACUUACAGUUGGAGAUGGAGUGCCAGCCUUAAGAAACACCAUGUUAACAGAAAUAACCUCUCCCUCCUCCUUCAAACCAGAUUUCACCAAAUCAAACUGAGAAGCCCGGAAUCUCCUCACACUCUCAAUGCUUUUCAAAAGAUUUUCCAUUGCACUAUUGUCAUAAAGCUUAGCUCCAUGGCCUGGCGCCCCGUUGGCCUUAAUCACCAGCCACCAUGGACUCCUCUCUGCAUAGAACGGCCGGUAAUUCUCAGUGGGCGAUGCUAAUCCUGUUUUCAAGAUACACCACAAUAACCAAUAAGCUUUAGCUCAAUACUACAGUUUGAACUUUGAAUCUCGAAGCAAACCAAUAAAAGAAGUGGCAGAACAAUACAUCAUUUCAAUGAAACAAAUAAAGAGACUAAGUAAAUUAAAAUCAACCACCUUCAUCAAGCACUAUUCCCACAUUCAUGGUCUUGAAGAUAUCAGAAGCAGAAAACUUCUCAGCACCAUCAUGGCCGCCUAUUUCUUCAUCGGGGGCAAAAGAGAGGUAAAUGGACCGAAUCGGCUGGUACCCAGAAGACUUCAAGCGGCGGACAGCUUCCAGAUACUGCAUACCAACGCACUUCAUGUCCUGGGAGCCUCUAGCAUAGAUGUUACCAUGGGAAUCAAGGUGUGCGCCGAAGGCAGGGUAAGCCCACUUGUGCUGCUCGACGGGGACGACAUCAGUAUGAGAGUAAAGGAGGAUAGAAGGGAGGGUAGGGUUAGAGCCCGCCCACUUGAGGAGAACAAGUGGCUUGCCAUCGACGAACUCAAUGGAUUGAGAUUCAAGACCGAUGGAUUUGGCCUGGGAAAUGAGGAAAUCGGCUGCUUCUUGAUAUCGGGGGCUGGGUUGGGCGGUGUCAAUUUGGAGGUAUUGUUGGAAUCUUGAUAUGAUUGAUGAUGAUGAAUCUUCGGCUAGAGCUACUGCGGGAUUUGGAAGGUGUAAGCAAGUAUUGAGGAGGAGUACAAGGACGAAGAGGAAGAAAGAGUGGCUAGUGGAAGAGAAGGAAGUUGGGAGUGGACAGUCCAUUAGAAUUGAAUGUCUCAUACUUGCAAUCCAACAGGGCUAUGGUGGCGCAGGGAAAGUUAUUACCUUUUUGCAUAUCUGAGCUUAGAUGGGUCUAUCUUUUUAGGUUCUUCUUCCUCGUCAUUUGACAUUAGAGCUCUAAACCAUAUAUAUAUAUAUAUAUAUAGUUUAUAUGGUGAAUUAGUGGGCAAUUAAAUGCAUGAUCCCAAUUGAUUUAAAAGGUAGUCAGAAUUAGUUAUUUUUUUUUUUAAAUGAAAAUUAGAGAUGUGAAGAGUAAAAUUUGAAAUCUACUUAAUCUUUGGGAAUCAAUCAUAUGAACAUACCAUCUGAACAUACCACUUGGCUAAGCAUGCUAUGAGUUGAAAUCUUUGGGAAUCAAUCAGAUGAACAUACCAUCUGAACAUACCACUAGGCUAAGCAUGCUAUGAAUGAAAAAUGACUGGUAUUAUUAAAAAAUAAAACAAAUAACUAAAUAUAUUUUACAUAUAUCUUAAUUUAUAAAUUCAGAAUUUAGCAUUUAAUAUUGCCUGAUAAAUCAUUUUGCACAAUAAAAAUGGUACUAAUUGAUUAUUAUGGAAUUAGAUAUUAAUAUAUUUUUUAAAAUAAAAAAGAGUAAUUAAUAAAUUUUUUUAUAACACAGAAUUUUAGCUUAUUAUUAUUUGUAGCAUUACGAAGUUCAAAGAGCACAAAUCCAUACCCUGAACCAGUUCUGCCAGUGUCCUGUUUGGCCCACUUAUUUGUACAUCACUAGUACAUGCAUCUAAUCUGAAUCGUUAUUUUACAAAACUUCCAUAAAAUAUGGGCUUGAAGAUGGACAGUGAUCAGGAGCUAUCUUAUAACUCAUCUUUGGUCCCUUCAUUGCUGGCAUGCUCAGCAUAAGAUGCAUAAGCUUUAAUUAUUGACUCGUAGAUCUCUACGCCUUUCAGGUAUUCGGCUUUGUUCAGGAACUGCAAGAAUGUAGAACACAUGAUGGUUACACAACACAAUCACUGAAUGCAUAUUAAGCAAAAUUCUGAGCCCUUGUAAUAUGCAAAAUCAAUUAACACAGAGGGAGAGAGAUGCCUAUGAAUGGUAACAUGUGAAGAUUGACAGUAAGACAAGCCCAUCUGUCAUACAUUCUUAAAUUCACCAUAACAAUCAAGUGAAGAGCCAAUGUGAAAUUAUUGACCACCAGAGGUAUCGAAUGCGACUAUUUUAUUAAUCAUACCUCAUUAUGAUCAUGCAGAAGAACAGGUGUGUUUGCCAUGGGGGAGAAACCAAUUGCUGGUAGCCCACGGAACCG